AAGUUAGCGAUGAUUAUAAAAAUAAUUCCUCGUUCUGACUUCCUUAAUUUGUAUAUGACAAAAUUCUUAUUAUAACCAUAGAAUCUAAGCUCC
This 93-nucleotide small nucleolar RNA is filed under the name Theobroma cacao (cacao). RNAcentral's name for it is "Small nucleolar RNA snoR8a". It matches the Rfam family "Small nucleolar RNA snoR8a". Lineage: Eukaryota; Viridiplantae; Streptophyta; Magnoliopsida; Malvales; Malvaceae. The record is from Rfam by way of RNAcentral.